CCUACGGGAGGCAGCAGUGGGGAAUAUUGCGCAAUGGGCGAAAGUCUGACGCAGCGACGCCGCGUGAGGGAUGAAGGUCUUCGGAUCGUAAACCUCUGUCAGCAUGGAAGAACGGUCACUGUGCUAAUCAGCAGUGAAUUUACGGUAUCUGCAAAGGAAGCACCGGCUAACUCCGGGCCAGCAGCCGCGGUAAGACGGAGGGUGCGAGCGUUAAUCGGAAUUACUGGGCGUAAAGCGAUCGUAGGCGGUAUGUCAAGUCAAGGGUGAAAUCCCCGCGCUCAACGUGGGAACUGCAGUUGAAACUGGCAGACUGGAGUGUGUGAGAGGAUGGUGGAAUUCCUGGUGUAGGGGUGAAAUGCGUAGAUAUCUGGAGGAACAUCGGUGGCGAAGGCAACUAUCUGGCACAUAACUGACGCUGAGGAGCGAAAGCGUGGGUAGCAAACAGGAUUAGAUACCCUUGUAGUC
This 465-nucleotide ribosomal RNA is filed under the name uncultured bacterium. RNAcentral's name for it is "partial 16S ribosomal RNA". It matches the Rfam family "Bacterial small subunit ribosomal RNA", at positions 338 to 795 of the family's 1533-position model. The record is from RNAcentral.